CAGUAGCCGCGGUAAUACGUAGGGUGCGAGCGUUAAUCGGAAUUACUGGGCGUAAAGCGUGCGCAGGCGGUUUGUUAAGACAGAUGUGAAAUCCCCGGGCUCAACCUGGGAACUGCAUUUGUGACUGGCAAGCUAGAGUAUGGCAGAGGGGGGUGGAAUUCCGCGUGUAGCAGUGAAAUGCGUAGAUAUGCGGAGGAACACCGAUGGCGAAGGCAUCCCCCUGGGCCAAUACUGACGCUCAUGCACGAAAGCGUGGGGAGCAAACAGGAUUAGAUACCCCGGUAGUCCCUGUCUCUUAUAA
Molecule: ribosomal RNA, 301 nt
Filed under: uncultured bacterium
Lineage: Bacteria
Description: partial 16S ribosomal RNA
Rfam family: Bacterial small subunit ribosomal RNA
Source: RNAcentral